This 428-nucleotide ribosomal RNA is filed under the name uncultured Verrucomicrobiota bacterium. RNAcentral's name for it is "bacterial SSU rRNA". It matches the Rfam family "Bacterial small subunit ribosomal RNA", at positions 355 to 776 of the family's 1533-position model. The record is from RNAcentral. Lineage: Bacteria; Pseudomonadati; Verrucomicrobiota.
UCGAGAAUUUUUCUCAAUGGGGGAAACCCUGAAGGAGCGACGCCGCGUGGGGGAUGAAUGGCUUCGGCCCGUAAACCCCUGUCAUUUGCGAUCAAACCUUACGGCCUAACACGCCGUAAGCUGAUAGUAGCGGAAGAGGAAGGGACGGCUAACUCUGUGCCAGCAGCCGCGGUAAUACAGAGGUCCCAAGCGUUGUUCGGAUUUACUGGGCGUAAAGGGUGCGUAGGUGGUCAGGUAAGUCUGAUGUGAAAUCUUCGAGCUCAACUCGAAAACUGCAUCGGAUACUAUCUGACUAGAGGAAUGGAGGGGAGACUGGAAUACUUGGUGUAGCAGUGAAAUGCGUAGAUAUCAAGUGGAACACCAGUGGCGAAGGCGAGUCUCUGGACAUUUCCUGACGCUGAGGCACGAAAGCCAGGGGAGCAAACGGG